RNAcentral lists this ribosomal RNA (437 nucleotides) under uncultured bacterium. Its description in RNAcentral is "partial 16S ribosomal RNA". It matches the Rfam family "Bacterial small subunit ribosomal RNA", at positions 29 to 507 of the family's 1533-position model. The record is from RNAcentral.
AGCGAACGCUGGCGGCAGGCUUAACACAUGCAAGUCGAGCGGGCAUCCUUGUGGUGUCAGCGGCAGACGGGUGAGUAACGCGUGGGAACGUGCCCUUCGGUUCGGAAUAACUCAGGGAAACUUGAGCUAAUACCGGAUACGUGCGAGAGCAGAAAGGUUUAUCUGCAGAAGGAUCGGCCCGCGUCUGAUUAGCUAGUUGGUGAGGUUAUGGCUCACCAAGGCGACGAUCAGUAGCUGGUCUGAGAGGAUGAUCAGCCACACUGGGACUGAGACACGGCCCAGACUCCUACGGGAGGCAGCAGUGGGGAAUAUUGGACAAUGGGGGCAACCCUGAUCCAGCCAUGCCGCGUGAGUGAUGACGGCCUUAGGGUUGUAAAGCUCUUUUCUCCGGGACGAUAAUGACGGUACCGGAGGAAUAAGCCCCGGCUAACUUCGUG